This 506-nucleotide ribosomal RNA is filed under the name uncultured bacterium. RNAcentral describes it as "partial 16S ribosomal RNA". It matches the Rfam family "Bacterial small subunit ribosomal RNA", at positions 30 to 523 of the family's 1533-position model. The record is from RNAcentral.
AUUGAACGCUGGCGGCAGGCUUAACACAUGCAAGUCGAGCGGUAACAGAGAGAAGCUUGCUUCUCUGCUGACGAGCGGCGGACGGGUGAGUAAUGCCUAGGAAUCUGCCUAGUAGUGGGGGAUACCUUGCCGAAAGGUAAGCUAAUACCGCAUACGUCCUACGGGAGAAAGGAGGGGACAUUCGGGCCUUUCGCUAUUAGAUGAGCCUAGGUGGGAUUAGUUAGUUGGUGAGGUAAUGGCUCACCAAGACCGCGAUCCGUAACUGGUCUGCGAGAAAUAUCAGUCACACUGGAACUGAGACACGGGCCAGAAUCCUACGGGAGGCAGCAGUGGGGAAUAUUGGACAAUGGGGGGAACCCUGAUCCAGCCAUGCCGCGUGUGUGAAGAAGGUCUUAGGAUUGUAAAGCACUUUAAGUUGGGAGGAAGAGCAGUUAACUAAUAUUUGACUGUUUUGACGUUACCGACAGAAUAAGCACCGGCUAACUUCGUGCCAGCCGCCGCGGUAA